Molecule: ribosomal RNA, 273 nt
Filed under: uncultured Clostridia bacterium
Lineage: Bacteria; Bacillati; Bacillota; Clostridia
Description: partial 16S ribosomal RNA
Rfam family: Bacterial small subunit ribosomal RNA
Source: RNAcentral
ACUUCGGUCAAAUGACUUUUGAACUUAGUGGCGGACGGGUGAGUAACGCGUGAGCAACCUGCCUUUCAGAGGGGGAUAACAUUUGGAAACAGAUGCUAAUACCGCAUGAGACCACAAUUCCACAUGGAGAAGGGGUCAAAGGAGGAAUCCGCUGAAAGAUGGGCUCGCGUCCCAUUAGGUAGUUGGUGAGGUAACGGCCCACCAAGCCGACGAUGGGUAGCCGAGCUGAGAGGCUGAUCGGCCACACUGGAACUGAGACACGGCCCAAACUCC